Nicotiana tabacum (common tobacco) is the source of this 984-nucleotide non-coding RNA. The record is from RefSeq and is a predicted model, not a curated record. NCBI's taxonomy places the organism in Eukaryota, Viridiplantae, Streptophyta, Magnoliopsida, Solanales, Solanaceae.
GCCUCACAGCUCAAACCAAAUCCACCUUCAAUUUUCCGAUUUCUAUUUCUUCUCACACUACUUAUAUUGUAAUUUUAGCAGCUCCAGCUUUUAAUUAAACUGAAGUUGUUUCUAGCAUUGAAUGUUGGAAGGAGAGAGUUGGAAUUAUUGUUACAGAAAGAAUGACGGAGAAUCAAUAUUAUGCACCUUCCCAUUCGGAUCCAUCUCGGCCUUCACUAGGCUUCCCACUGGGCACUGCCCUCCUCUUGCUAAUCAUUUUCAGCUUGAGUGGAAUCUUUUCUUGCUGCUACCAUUGGGACAAACUCCGCUCUCUCCGUCGAUCUUUCUCCGACAGUACGGAUCUCGAAGCCGGUGACGACCCUUCUUCUUUGAAAUCUAAAGCCCACAUGAUAAGAUUUCAUCAACUCCCUCUUCAAACGACACAAAAUCAAUCGACUAAUAGCGAUAACUUCCAGUUUAAUUGGGUUGGCUCUAUAUAAAUCUUUCGUGUCCGUUUCAUUUUAUUGGAAUUCACGUCUAAUAAUCCAUUGCAAUAUAUCCUCUUUCUUUCUCUGGUUUGGGACCGACGGCUGGCAGAGUUCAUCUAGCUACACAUAAUAAAGUCCAAAUUACUUCCUCCGUUGAAUUGGAAGCAAAACCAAAUAUCAAAUAUGCCGGCAGUGUUGAUGCCUGGAGAUCAAGUACCAAAGUUCAUAGCAUUGCCAUGUCCAUGUCAGCCUCUCCGACCAGGAAAGGUAGUUGUAGAGAUGCAACCGCCGCUGCCGACUUCUCCUCCGAAGCCACUUCAUAUGGCAGUGGCAGUAACUUUCUAUUAGCAAAGCUACCACGAAAAUUUUAGAACUGGACUAGUAAUUGAUUGUGUGUAUAGUGGCAUAGUGGAAUAUAGUGAAUUGUAGUUCAAUCAAAUUCGUAAUGUUUUUUACUUGUAAAUAUUAAGGGAGAAAUUAAAAAAGAGCCAGAUUUACAACUGGUCGUUCAAAAAUA